UACGGAGGAUCCGAGCGUUAUCCGGAUUUAUUGGGUUUAAAGGGUGCGUAGGCGGCGAGUUAAGUCAGCGGUAAAAGCCCGGGGCUCAACCCCGGCGAGCCGUUGAAACUGGCUGUCUUGAGAUGUCGAGAGGUAUGCGGAAUGCGCAGUGUAGCGGUGAAAUGCUUAGAUAUUGCGCAGAACUCCGAUUGCGAAGGCAGCGUACCGGCGCCAGACUGACGCUGAGGCACGAAAGCGUGGGGAUCGAACAGG
RNAcentral lists this ribosomal RNA (252 nucleotides) under uncultured Bacteroidales bacterium. Its description in RNAcentral is "partial 16S ribosomal RNA". It matches the Rfam family "Bacterial small subunit ribosomal RNA", at positions 524 to 776 of the family's 1533-position model. The record is from RNAcentral. Lineage: Bacteria; Pseudomonadati; Bacteroidota; Bacteroidia; Bacteroidales.